Molecule: unclassified non-coding RNA, 253 nt
Filed under: uncultured Kallotenuales bacterium
Lineage: Bacteria; Bacillati; Chloroflexota; Chloroflexia; Kallotenuales
Description: contains 16S-23S intergenic spacer region
Rfam family: Bacterial small subunit ribosomal RNA
Source: RNAcentral
UACAGAGGGGGCAAGCGUUGUCCGGAAUUACUGGGCGUACAGCGCGCGCAGGCGGUGGCUGAUGUGCCGUGUGACAAGCGGGGGCUCAACCCCCGAGGGCCAUGGUAGACAGGGUCACUGGAGGCAGGGAGAGGGAUGUGGAAUGCCCGGUGGAGCGGUGAAAUGCGUAGAGCUCGGGCGGAACACCAGCGGCGAAGGCGGCAUCCUGGCCCUGACCUGACGCUGAGGCGCGAGAGCGUGGGGAGCGAACUGG